GAUGAACGCUGGCGGCGUGCCUAAUACAUGCAAGUCGAGCGAACUGAUUAGAAGCUUGCUUCUAUGACGUUAGCGGCGGACGGGUGAGUAACACGUGGGCAACCUGCCUGUAAGACUGGGAUAACUUCGGGAAACCGAAGCUAAUACCGGAUAGGAUCUUCUCCUUCAUGGGAGAUGAUUGAAAGAUGGUUUCGGCUAUCACUUACAGAUGGGCCCGCGGUGCAUUAGCUAGUUGGUGAGGUAACGGCUCACCAAGGCAACGAUGCAUAGCCGACCUGAGAGGGUGAUCGGCCACACUGGGACUGAGACACGGCCCAGACUCCUACGGGAGGCAGCAGUAGGGAAUCUUCCGCAAUGGACGAAAGUCUGACGGAGCAACGCCGCGUGAGUGAUGAAGGCUUUCGGGUCGUAAAACUCUGUUGUUAGGGAAGGACAAGUACGAGAGUAACUGCUUCGUACCUUGACGGUACCUAACCAGAAAGCCACGGCUAACUACGUGC
This 500-nucleotide ribosomal RNA is filed under the name unidentified low G+C gram-positive bacterium. Its description in RNAcentral is "bacterial SSU rRNA". It matches the Rfam family "Bacterial small subunit ribosomal RNA", at positions 28 to 508 of the family's 1533-position model. Lineage: Bacteria; Bacillati; Bacillota. The record is from RNAcentral.